Anolis carolinensis (green anole) is the source of this 1963-nucleotide long non-coding RNA. Lineage: Eukaryota; Metazoa; Chordata; Lepidosauria; Squamata; Anolidae. The record is from Ensembl.
CGUCAACCGUUUACCAACACCACCAACCACGCCUCUUCUGCCAGCUCACGUUGGCUUCCAAGACAACAAGCUGAUGCAGGUGGACAGCGUGAUCGUGCCACGCAGGCAGGUCGAAGAAUCCAGGGCCAGGAGCCCACAGCCACCAACUCAGAUUGAGAAACCAAUAGAAACCAGGGUUUCGCCCAUACCUGAGAUCACAGAUGUUCCUCUGAAGGGACCUUCUAGGUUUGAGAAGAACUUCACCUCUACCCCUGACCAAACACCCCUUCCGUUUCUUCAGACUCCUCAGUCACAGCUCGAGUCUCUGUUUAGGAACCCGAAGAAGGAUUUGAGGGACAAAGGUGUGGAGAAAUUCUCUGACCGGCCAGAAGAUUUCCUACUUUGGAAGAAGACCUUUCAGCGUGCCAUACAGAACUUAAGACUCACCUCUGAGGAGGAACUAACUCUUAUGGUUGCCUGGCUUGGUCCAACAUCAGCCCACCAAGUGAGAAGAAUCUUCUCAGCCCUCAUCGACCAACCAGAAAGAGCACUGGACACUGCAUGGACAAGGCUUAACCAGCGUUACGGGUCCAGCACCCAAAUUGAAGCCUCGCUGAUGGACAGACUUCAUAAGUUCCCGGUGCUCAAACCUAAGGACUUUGAACAGCUUUGGGACCUAUCAGACUUAUUGGUUGAGCUCCAGUCAGCUAAGGGAAACCCACAGCUUCCAGGGUUUGCCUGCCUGGACCAGCACUUGUCCCAAACUGCCAUCACUCAAAGACUGCCCUUUUUCUUGCAGGAGGAAUGGGGCAGGGAGGUCUUCAGAUACAAGCAGGCCAAUCAUCAGGUCUACCCACCAUUCACUCAUCUUGUGGAUUUUGUUACAAAUGCCGCCAUGCAAUUUAAUGACCCACAGACAGGAUUUCCAACUCUUUAUGGGGCUCCAAGGACAGAUAGGCCCAUCAAAGAGCCCAAGGAACCUGCAAAGGACAGUGGCACCAAAAGAAACAUCGCCGUCAAGACUACGGAGACCAUCCCGUCUCUACCUGAUGCCAAGAUGACACCAAAAGAAGUUUUGUGCCCACUGCACGCAAAGCCCCACAGUUUGGCCGACUGCAGAGAGUUUGCCAAAAAGCCUCACCCAGACAAAGUCAAGAUCCUCAAGAAAUCCAGGAUCUGCUUCAGGUGCUGCGGUACAACUCCCCACCAAUCAAAGUCAUGCAAAGAAAAGGUAAAAUGCGAGGUGUGCCAAUCCGUCAGACAUUGCUCAGCGAUGCACGACAAGGACUUCGUGCCCUUCAAGGUCAAGAGCGGAGCAACCAGUCAAUGCCCCCCAGAAGUGCAUCCAGAAGAUUCAGCUGAACCUUCAUCGGGCACUGAGGCACCCUCUGUGGCCUGCACUCAGCUGUGCGGCAGCCCAAAGAAAGUUAGGAUUUGCCAUCCCAUCUGUUUGGCAGAUGUCUAUCCCGCCAGCAAGCCAUGGACGAAGAAGAGAAUGUACGUGGCCCUUGACAACCAAAGUGACGGUUCACUGGCCACCCCUGACUUCUUCAGCUUCUUCAAAGGGCAAUCAAAGACUAUUGACUAUUGUAUUUCUACUUGUACGGGCAAACAAAGAAGACAGGGCCGUGUUGCUUCUGGAUUUAUCAUUUCGCCAUGUGGCAAAGACAUUCAUUUUGAGUUACCUGACCUUAUUGAGUGUGCGUCCAUCCCACGAAAUAAGGACCAGAUUGCUACCAGAGAAGUGGUGCAAGCGCAUCCUCACCUGAAAGGACUACAGGACCUCAUUCCUCCCUUUGAGCCAGGCAUCGACAUCGUCCUGCUCAUCGGAUCCAACUGCCCAAGCCUGAUGAGCGUCCGGGCUGAAAAGAGAGGUCCUCCUGGUGCACCCUUGGCACAGAAGACUCCUUUAGGAUGGACCAUACAGGGACCUGUAUGUGUCAACAGAAUGCAUCCUCCAUCUUCUCUGUGUCCAGAUCAGCCA